GCUUAGUUGGUAAAGCACAAGGCUCUUAACCUUGUGGACGUGGAUUCAAGCCCCAU
Molecule: non-coding RNA, 56 nt
Organism: Triticum aestivum (bread wheat)
Lineage: Eukaryota; Viridiplantae; Streptophyta; Magnoliopsida; Poales; Poaceae
Source: Rfam